Aethina tumida (small hive beetle) is the source of this 611-nucleotide long non-coding RNA. RefSeq lists it as uncharacterized. The record is from RefSeq and is a predicted model, not a curated record. Lineage: Eukaryota; Metazoa; Arthropoda; Insecta; Coleoptera; Nitidulidae. The transcript is spliced from 3 exons.
CAAAGUUGUAAGUUCCUUAGGACAAAUGAAAAAUUAAACUGGGAUGUCAUUUUAUUAGGAAAGGAAAUGAAAUGAAUCAGAAAUGUAAAGAUAAAAGCAACGGCGCAAGAUGAGAAGUUACACUGGCAUGAAAUUUUAGAAAGAAAGGAACUGAAAUGAAUCAGAAACGUAGAUAUAAAAGCAUUUAACCACAAAACUAAAAAGCUUUCCAUCAAGUUCAAAGUUCUUUAGGACAAGUGAAAUAAUGCAAAAUUAAACGGGCAUGUCAUUUUAUGAUGAAAGGAUAUAAAAUGAACCAUAAAUGUAAAUAUAAAAGAUCAGUCUCACAUUUACUGUAAACAAAUUUUGUAUAGUAUCAUACUGAUUGUGUGUUUUUGAAAGCCCAAUUACAACUGUUCAGUUUUUAUUGUAUUGUAAAAAUACAAAUUUUCUUUAAUAUCUGCUAAGGAUUAACUUACUUACUUAAUUUUAACUGUUGUGUAUAUGUUUAGUACAAAUAUGUAUGCUGGGCAAUUAAUUUUGGUUAUUUAAAUAUGAUCAUUUAUCACAAGUUACCUCCAAGGUUUCUUUUCUGUUUUAAAUGUUAUCACAAUUGGUGUCAAUCUUCAAUA